RNAcentral lists this long non-coding RNA (12019 nucleotides) under Populus trichocarpa (black cottonwood). RNAcentral's name for it is "long non-coding RNA (PTRI_LNC001068)". Lineage: Eukaryota; Viridiplantae; Streptophyta; Magnoliopsida; Malpighiales; Salicaceae. The record is from RNAcentral.
GUGACGGGGAUGGUGGAGGAGGAGACUUGUAAGAGUACGGUGGAGGGGGAGACUUUUUAGGUGGUGGAGGUGAGGCGUAGUGGUAUGGAGGAGGAGGGGAUUUCUUUGGAGGAGGUGGAGAUGUGUAUUGGUAUGGAGGUGGUGGUGACGGGGAUGGUGGAGGAGGAGACUUGUAAGAGUACGGUGCAGGGGGAGACUUUUUAGGUGGUGGAGGUGAGGCGUAGUGGUAUGGAGGAGGAGGGGAUUUCUUUGGAGGAGGUGGAGAUGUGUAUUGGUAUGGAGGUGGUGGUGACGGGGAUGGUGGAGGUGGAGACUUAUAAUAGUAAGGUGGAGGAGGGGAAUUCUUUGGAGGAGGUGGAGAUGUGUAUUGGUAUGGAGGUGGUGGUGACGGGGAUGGUGGAGGAGGAGACUUGUAAGAGUACGGUGGAGGGGGAGACUUUUUAGGUGGUGGAGGUGAGGUGUAGUGGUAUGGAGGAGGAGGGGAUUUCUUUGGAGGAGGUGGAGAUGUGUAUUGGUAUGGAGGUGGUGGUGACGGGUAUGGUGGAGGUGGAGACUUGUAAUAGUACGGUGAAGGGGGAGACUUUUUAGGUGGUGGAGGUGAGGUGUAGUGGUAUGGAGGAGGAGGGGAUUUCUUUGGAGGAGGUGGAGAUGUGUAUUGGUAUGGAGGUGGUGGUGACGGGGAUGGUGGAGGAGGAGACUUGUAAUAGUACGGUGGAGGGGGAGACUUUUUAGGUGGUGGAGGUGAGGCGUAGUGGUAUGGAGGAGGAGGAGAUUUCUUUGGAGGAGGUGGAGAUGUGUAGUGGUAUGGAGGUGGUGGUGAUAGGGAUGGUGGAGGAGGUGACUUGUAAUAGUGUGGUGGAUGAUGAGAUUUCUUUGGCGGGGGAGGUGAAGUGUAGUGGUGUGUAGGAGGGGGAGAUUUCUUUGGAGGAUGUGGAGAUGUGUAGUGGUAUGAAGGUGGUGGUGAUGAAGAUGGUGGAGGAGGAGACCUGUAAUUAUAAUAUGAUGGAUGAGGGGAUUUCUUUGGUGGGGGAGGUGAAGUGUGGUGGUAUGGAGGAGAGGGAUAUUUCUUUGGAGGAGGUGGAGAUGUGUAGUGGUAUGAAGGUGGUGGUGAUGAAGAUGGUGGAGGAGGAGACUUGUAAUAGUAUGGUGGAUGAGAGGAUUUCUUUGGUGGUGGAGGAGAUUUAUAGUGGUAUAGUGGAUGAGGGGAUUUCUUUGAUGGUGGAGGAGAUGUGUAAUGGUAUAGUGGUGGAGGAGAUUUCUUUGGAGGAGGUGGAGAUGUGUAGUGGUAUGAAGAUGGUGGAGGAGAAGACUUGUAAUUGUAUGGUGGAUGAGGGGAUUUCUUUGGUGGUGGAGGAGAUUUAUAGUGGUAUAGUGGAUGAGGGGAUUUCUUUGAUGGUGGAGGAGAUGUGUAAUGGUAUAGUGGUGGAGGAGAUUUCUUUGGAGGAGGUGGAGAUGUGUAGUGGUAUGAAGAUGGUGGAGGAGGAGACUUGUAAUAGUAUGAUGGAUGAGGGGAUUUCUUUGGUGGGGGAGGUGAAGUGUAGUGGUAUGGAGGAGGAGGAGAUUUCUUUGGAGGAGGUGGAGAUGUAUAGUGGUAUGGAGGUGGUGGUGAUGGAGAUGGUGGAGGAUGAGACUUGUAAUAGUAUGGUAGAUGAGGGGAUUUCUUUGGUGGUGGAGGAGAUUUGUAGUGGUAUAGUGGAUGAGGGGAUUUCUUUGGUGGUGGAGGAGAUGUGUAAUGAUAUGAUGGUGGAGGGGAUUUUUUUGGAGGAGGUGGAGAUGUGUAGAGAAUUGGGUGAAGGUGGUGAUGAAGAUGGAGGUGGUGGAGAUUUAUAAUAAUAUGGGGGAGAAGAUUUCAACAAAGGAGGAGAUGAUUUAUAGGAAUAAGGCUCAUAAGCCACCACACUGGUGGCUACAAGGCAAAUUGCUAUAGCAUGUAUCAUUAGGGACAAAUGCCCCGACUUCCCCCGUUUUCCCAUCCUUAGAACUCUUGCUUUGUGUUUGCAUGGUUAGCAUGGAUACUAGCCCUUUAUAUAGUGAUCCCUUCAAUCAUUGUUGACAAAGACAUGUUUUCCCAUGAUUAUUACAGCCUGGAUUAAAGCAUAAAAAUAUGUUCCAAAUCUGACUGAGCUGCAACCUCCUCGUUCUUAUUGUUUUUGUCUACUUGUUAUUAGUGGCUUCGCACUAAUUUUAUCAGUAAUGCAUAUAAUAAACCUAGAAAUUGUCAGCUUGAGAGCUGGUGAGAUAUGCCAUUUUCCGUGUAAGAACUGUAAACGCGUUUACGUACAGCAGAUUGGUCUGAAUGUUUUAGCCUUGUUACAAAAAUACGAUAAUAGAGGUGGCGAGGAGAAGUGAUCCGUGAGACAAAGAUCAUAAUUUCAAGGCAAACAUUUCCAUUUUACAAUAAAAAAUUGCUGCCUUCUAAUUUAGAUUUGUUAAAUUCUUGAGGUUUUACGAGGAAAGUAGCAAGUUACUUCAGUACCAUGAUCCAAGGAAGUUCUAAAUAACAAAUCUAUGUAUGAUCAAGUAGUAUAUCUCACAGUCGGUGAAUUUAAUAAACAAAAUGGAACAAUAAAUUAAAAUAUUCUUUAAAAUAUAAUCCCAACUAAUUUAUAAAGAUUUGUCAGCAAAUUCUAGUAGAGUGAAUCAUAUGUUGAUUUUAGUUAAUCCAUUCAUAAAUGACUUCAUCAAGCAACAGGACGCGAAAUUAUAUUAAUCUUGCUUCUUGUCCAAAUGAUUUUAAAUAAAAUUCUUGAAAUUAUAUUGAUCCAUUCUUCUAAAAAAGUUAAGGGAGUUGGUCAUUUCAUACGUAAUAAACCACUACACUUAGCAGCCCAUGUUGUGUUUGUCGAUUAGGGGGUCAAAAGAGAUUUGCUCAUACUCCAUAUAUAAUGUUGUUCGUACAUGUAUAACUAUAUACUAUUGUCAUUGGCAUAAUCAAUUUUCUUUUCUUCUUCUUUAUUUUAUUUUUUAAUAAACACAACAUGGAUAUUUACAAUUUGUUUGAAACUAAUUGUACCAGAUCACGUUAGCAUUUAGAUUGAUAGGGCUUAAUCACUUCCAUUUUUUUAGAAGAGGCCUUGUUUAACAUUCGAUGAAAAUUAGAAACUUUUUUCAUUUUUAGUUUGAUUUAUCAGUAGCAUAGUUUUAAAACUCGAUCUAAAAAUUAAUUUGAAGACCUGUUUUUUUUUAAGGAUCAAAAUAAUAUUAUUUUGAAUAAUUUUUUUUUAUAAAAAAACUAAUUGUUUUUUGUCAUAGUUUUAUUAGAUCGACAAGGUGGUAGGGCAAUCCAAGUUCUUAAUGGUUUAUUAUAAAAUACAAAUCAAGGCUAAUAUAAUUUAAUGUUGACAUUAUACAAUGAACAAUUGAGAAUCCUUUGUUGUGCAGGGGUGAUGGUGGUGAUGAUGUAUAUUUACUUUGCAUAUUAAAAGAUAAAAAAUUCAUUAUCAUCAAAAUAAUCUGUAAUUAAAUCUGUGGAAAAAAAGUGCUACCUUCAUAUAUAAUCCUCCUUCACUUUCUUAUUUCUAUUGAACAAUUAAAAGAAUAUACAAACAUAUCUGUCAUAUCUAGCUCUGUUCAGCCUGUAAACCUUUAAUUCAAUUCAAAUUAAUUAUUUUUAUUCAAACAAUAUAUAUUAUUAUUUGUUAAAAAUAAUUAAUUUUAAUUGAAUUAAAGGUUCAUUUUCUAUUGCACAAUUAAAGAAAUAUACAAACACAUCUGUCAUAUCCGGCUCUGUUCAGCCCGUAAACCUUUAAUUCAAUUCAAAUUAAUUAUUUUUAUUCAAACAAUAUAUAUUUUAAUUCUUUUAAUUAGUGUUGGUUUGAUUAACUUAGCUGGUCAACUAAAUUACAUGUCAACUUGAAUGAAUUGACUAAGUCUUAUCAUAUUAAUAAUUUUUUUUGUUUAAAUUUAAAACUUGAGCUGAGUUAAGUUUUAGAUCAUGUGGAGGUUUCUUAGAUUAAUCUAUCUGACCGAGUUUAAACUAUGCAAUGCAUGUGUGUGUAUCUACAUAUAUUAUAUUAGUUUGUAGAUAAUAAUGGAAAGAAAAAUCAACUCUUAUUUGCAAAAUUGAAUUGAAUUGAGCGAUUCUUGCGACUUCACGAUGACCUGAUCAUUUAUGUAAAGUGCCUCUGUCAGCUUAGUACGCAGUGUAACAUGCAUGCACGACUUUUACCAGUUAAAACUUGGAUUAUACACUUUGUUAAUUUAAUUUAUGCAUGCCAGGCUGAAUGUUUCUAGCUAGAAACUCUCAAGCAAUAGUGCAUGCCAUUGCCAUGAAAUGUUCCAUUUUAUUGAGAUAUUCUAUCAUCAACCAAAAGAUAUAAACAAUCCAUUAAUUUGGAUAUAGUUAUCUCGUAUUUAUUUCUUAUGAAUGAUGCAGCAAUAAACUUAAGGUUAAACGAGCCAAAAUUAUUUUGAAUUUUAAAAGAAAUAACUUAACAUUUUUUUAAAAAAAACAAAUCACUGUCACCAUUCACAAUAAUUUAUUUUUUGAUGAACAGGGAAAUAGUAUUUUCCCGUAGCUUUUAGAAUAUUACUUAAUUGUUAAAAGGAAAACAACACAACAUGCAUGCAUUCAUUCUUGUCAACUAAUCCAGUGGUAUAUGGGAAAAGAAGAAGAAGAAGCAGCUAGGUCAACAAUAAAAAGUUGAACAAUCAAUGAGUAUAAUGCAAGAGUAUACACAAGAUUGCUGCAUAAAGUACUCACGAAGGAUUGCUGCUGAAUUUGAUGCUGGAAACACGCAAGGAAAGGUCUUGAAGAGUUGGCUUGACAUGGAGCUACUAGCUAGCUAUUUUUUCUAUAAAAUCUUUGUGAUUUUGUUUAUUUUUAUUUUAUAACUGUUGUGGCUGUACGUAUAUCUUUUGUAUUUUAUACCUUCCGUUACAGGACACCAAGUUUUUAUGGUUUUAUAUUAGUUGAAGUCGAAGAGGGAGUUGUCAAUUCUCCUUUAGAUAAUAACUAGCUUAAUUGCAGGCGUUACUCUCCGAGUUUCUAUUUUAAUUAGUCAAUUAAUGUGUUAUUUAAUUUUAAGAUUUUGCAUUUUUGCAUAUAUAUAUUUAUAUAAGCAGUCUAUUUGAUUUACGUAAAGAGCUUAUUAGAUACAUGAAAGACAAAUUAUUUUCAUGAUAAAAUAGAGAAUAAUGCAUCAUUGACGUCAUAGAAACACAAUUGCUCGAGGUAAUUAAACCGCUUCAAAAAGUUUCUCAACUUUGUUUAUGUAUUUUUUAUAUUAGCAUGAUUUUUUAAAAAACAAAACUUAUCAUGACUUGAAAAGUAGUUGAAAUAAAAAAAAACAUACGUUUUAAUAAUUUUUAUGCUAAUGCAAGCAAAAAUAAAAGAAUAAUUAAUUUGAAAAAGUUACAUAAAAUCUUCACGAAAUAAGUAUUUAUUCUCAUUGAAUAUCUAUGAGAAAUUUUUUUUAAAAUAAUACAUAUUUGUUUUAUAUAUAAUUAUUCAUAAAGUAACUACUAAUAUUAUCAUUAAAAAUUAAAAAUAUCAAUUAAUAUCAUUAAAAUCUUUAAUUUUAUUUGAAAAAUAUAGUGUCAUUGUAUUAUUUUUAAAACAUCAUUGUAAUUUUUUUAUUUAAAAAAUAUUUUAAAAUAUUAAAAACUUAAAGGCCAAAUGUAUGGGCAUGGGAAAGGGCUAUUCCAUGUCCAUACAUUCCCAUGCCCAUACAUUUGGCCUAAAAAGCAGAAAGCUCAGCCCCUAUUUUUUUUUUAAAAAAAAUUCAAGUGGAGAACAUGUUGUUCACUUGAGUUUUUUUUUUUAAAUGUAUGGAUGGCUUGAAUAGUCGGGCUACAUGAUGAUGUUUCUUUAAUGAUAAAUUCCAACCACAAAAUUAGAGUUCAGAGUAAUUUGGAUCUCAAAAUCCAAAUUUGCGCGCAUAUAGAUAAUAAUGUCCUACAAACAUUAAUAAUAUAAUUUCAAGCUUUAAAACCUUAUUUAAUUAUACUUGAGACUCAAAAUCAAACUGAAUCUAAAAAUAAUUUACAAGUUUUAAUAUAUUUUCUUUAAGAUAAUUAAAUGCUAAAAUCACCAAUAUUAAACUUCAUUCUUCGUUUUGAUAUAUUUUCUUUAAUAUAAUUGAAUGCUCAAACCACUAAUAUUGAACUUCAUUUUUUAAGAUAACUUAUUGACAGUGUUUUUAAAUCCAGCCUGGUUGACCUAGCUUAAGGUCCGGGUCACGGGUUUUGACCGGGCCAACCUUAAUUUUUUUAUAAAUCAAAACAAUAUCAUUUUUAUUAAAAUAAAUAAAUAGUUAAUGAGUUACAACUAGAUUUUGACUGGGUCACCGGGUCAACCCACCAGGUUAACCAGGUUAGUCGGGUUUUUGAUUUUCUUUAUUUUUUCAUAAACUCAGCCUGGUUUUGGUCAACAGGGUCAGUCGGAUCUCGGGUUGACCUACCAGGCUGGGUCGAGUUUUAAAACUAUAUUUAUUGGUAUGGAUAAUAUGUUUUUUUUUUAAUUGCUGAAUGAAAUGUUUUUCUUUCCUUUCUUUUCCAGAGAUUCUUUUCUUUCUUACAUCAAAAUUCAAGCAGUGAAACGUAAAAAAAAUAAACUUUUAGGACCGAAGUAUCAAAAUCGAGCAUUUAUCCUAGAAAUCCGUGAAAGAUGAGGAAAGCUGUAGUAAAUGCUAUAGAGUUUUCCAUUUCCUGUUUUAGUUUAUACAGUAAUUGUAAUUGUAAUGUAUGCAAUCACCCUAAAUGAUCUUUUGGUUGUAUAGGAAAAUAUAUAAAUUGCCAGUUUUUCAGCUACAGUGCUGUACUUAAUUGAAUUAAUUAAGGCUAAAAUGUGUACAAUAUCCUACAAAUAUAUUAAAAUAUUACAAAUAUAUUAAAAUGUGAUUGCAGUUAUUUUUUAAAGUUAUAUAAUUUUUAUUUUUUAAAAAUUAUUUUUGAUAUCAGCACAUCAAAAUAAUCUAAAAACACCAAAAUAAUAUUAAUUUAAAAAAAAAAAAAAUUAAAAAUAUUUUUGAAAUGCAAAAACAAACAGAAAUAUAGCUUUCCAUACAAUGAUGUUUUAGAUAUGUCAAUGAGUAUUUAGCUCAAUCAACUAGCUAUAUAGUUAUUUAAAUAUAGCUGUUAAAUCAAACUUUAUGAUAUAUUUGAAAAUGAUUUCAAUUCGAUAAGUAAAUAGGAUUCAAUUGAGUUAUAAUUAAAUUCAAGUGACUGGAACAAAUAAUAAAAAAAUUCUCUACUGCACCUCAUCUAAUUUAUAUUCUUCUCACAUGUUCUUGAAUCUUAAAAAUCAUAAUAAAUGGAGAGGGAAAGAAAAGUUUGCUUUCACUGCAACUUCUUCAACAAUAUCCAAAUUCAUUUGAAACCUAAUUAGAAAAAGGAAACCCAAUUUUUUUUAUUAGUUCUGUUUGGUUUGUAAAAUACCUAUUUCUUUGUUUAUUUCUCUCUCUAUAGCCAUUUUUUUUACUGGCUGAUCAGAGAUCGUCUUUAAAAAAAAAACAAGGAAACCCAAUUUCUCCAAAAUCAAAAAUUCAAGUUACUAGUUUAUAGUUAAAGAGAGACCUAAAAUUAGAGAUUUGUAACAUAAUUUUUUCAAAACAAAAUUCUUCAACCAUUAUUAUGAUAAAAGAAGUAGUUUUAAACCUGUUAGAUUAAUUAAUUGAAUUAAGUUUUAAUACCAAAUUGUGGCUUCUCAACAUUGGGUUGUGGAGAACCAACCGACCGAGUUACUGGUUUGGCAACAGCAGACCCUAGUGAAAUAGCAGUAGAACCAGUAGCGACAAACCUGGAAAUUUGCGGACCUGAAGGAGGAGAACUUAUAACUAGAGAAUGAUCAUUAGAUAAACAAACAUAUGGUGACAUAAGGGCAGGGCUGAUAGGUUGUUAUAUGGUGGUAGAAAUAGUAGGUAGUGUGAGGAGUGGAGAGGUUGAAGGUGAACUAAGCAAAUUUGGCAAGUGGGUAGUAAAGAUAGGAUGCAAAGAUGUGUUGUAGGGUUAUGCCAUUUAUUCAGGUUUGUUAAAAAAAACACAUCUUCAUGAAAAGGGAUAUGACAUGAGAUAUAAAUAUGUUGAAAUGCUAGAUUAAGACAACGAUAACUAAGGUGAGAGGAGCUAUAAGCUAAGAACACAAAUGGAGAGGAAUGAAAAUCUAAUUUAUGAGCAUGAUAUGGACACAUGCAGAAAUGAAAAGCAAAGGCAUCUAAAAAUACAUAGAAAAUUAUAAUCAGGAAUAUGAUUAAAAAGACACUCAAACAAGGAUUUAUUUUGGAGGAUAAAAGUAGGCAUACAAUUGAUAAGAUACACUGCGGAUUCAAACGCAUAAUUCCAAAACCAUAAUGGAGAUUUACACUAUCCGAGGAGAGUAAGAUCAGUUACGACAAUAUGCCAAUGCCGGCGUUCAACAAUGCCAUUUUACACUAUCUGAUGAUGAAUACUGAUAGUUUGAAAGAAAGUGUUUAACUUGUGGUAUUCACCACCCUAAUCAGUUUGAACAAUUUUAAUUUUUCAUGAAAAUUGACGCUUAACAAAAACUUGAAAAAGAUAGAAAGUAGAAAAUAUAUCAGAUUUCACAAUAAAAGGAUAAUACCAUAUAUAUUUCAUAUAUGCAUUGACAUAUGUUAUAACCUAAUUUUGACCCAUUUGCUUUUUAAUCUAAUUUUAAGGGGGUUAAAAUUUGAAAUUAAAAUAUCAGGGGCUUGAAUGCAAAAUUUUGAAACUUUAAGGACGAAAUUGAGAAAUGGUCACCUUAGUCAGAAACAACUCUAUUUUGUCAUUUCCAUUCUUCUUCUUCCUCUGAAAACAGAGGAGACCACCUGCGGAGGAAAUACAGAACGCCACCCAGACAGGAAGCUCACACUACCAGACACAUUGCAAUGCCCACGACUUCCAUCACCAGCUUCUCAGUUCAUUUCCAUGUCCUUCGCCGCCAUAACAAGCCAUUGAGGCAUGGAGGAAACCACCACCAGUAGUCCAACAAUGGUAGGACAGUUGGCGUCCCAAUCCAACCAAAACAAGGAGUCUCAAAUUCUAUCUCUACAUGAAGAUCAGCGCUCGGGGAAGAUAAGGAUUAGCCUUGCGCGAGAAAAGCCUAUAAAAGACAGAGAGGACCAGGAGAGAAGAGGGGGGAAAGAAAACAAAGGGAACAGGGGCUUUCUCCUAGAGAGAAGAAAAAAACAGAAAACAGAGGAAAAAAAGAGAGUACAUAGGAGGAGAAAAAUCCAGACGAAAAAAAUACUGCAGGGGACAAAACACAGGAGAGAAAACGAGAGAGAGAGAGAGAGAGAGAGAGAGAGAGAGAGAGAGAGAGAGAGAGAGAGAGAGAGAGAGAGAGAGAGAACCAAAAGGGGCAGAAAGACAAGAGAAAACAAAUAGAGGGGAAGAUACCGAAGACAGAAGGAGAACUCCAGCAACGAGUAUCCACACCAUUCUUCGCGCAAAACUCCAGCAACAGGUAAGCUUUCAUUGUUUUCCCUCUCUUGCAGUUUAAUUACAUAGAUACUGUGCCAGACGUGCAUGGACAAUUCACGUAUGCCUGCAGAUGACUUAGCCGGGUUACUAGUUGAACCAGUAACCAACCGAGGCGGGUUGGCUGGAUCCGGGCCCAGUAAAAAAAAGAAAAGAGGAAGAAGAGUAGGUCAGAUCUAGGCCUUGGGCCCAGCCAGCCCAGUCCAUAUUUUCUAAGGGUGUGUUUGGCCAAACACACCCUUACGCCUUGACCCUAAUUUUUAUGUCCAUUCUAGUUUGAUAUUUGGCUAAAUAAGCCCGCUUUUUAUAUCAAAAAAUUUCAAAAAUAUUUGGCGAUCUUCGUUGAUUUAUUUGUGGGCCCCUCACACUUUGCCUUAUUUUUUUCUUUGUGUUUUGUAUUUUUUCUCCUAUGUGCUCAAUUUGUGGACCAAACUCUAUUAAAUGUAAAAUUCAUUGUGCAACGUUUCUUUUAUUUCAGUCUAAAAAGGGUAAAAUAAAAAAUAUAAUAAAGGGUAAGCAAAAAGAAAAUGGCGUAGAAAAAUUCUUCUUUAAAUUCAAUUUUUUACGAAAUUAUUCACUUACGUCAGUGUCAGGCAUAUCGUAUUUUUUUAGGUUUGUGCAAUAUUUAUCAACACUAGAGUUGAAAAUAUUUAUAGGAAUUAUUCACUAACGUCAGAGUUGGGAACAUGAUAGGAAGAACAAAAAAAAAAAGGAGAACAAAUUCUUAGCAAUUUUAGCCAAAAAAGAAUGCAGUCUGCCUCAGGUAGGAUGCUUAAGGGGUGAUAGUAUCUUUCCUUUCACGUAACUAGUCCCGUACCAUAGAAUCUCUGUUGACCAGUUAGGGUUCCUAGUGACCGUAAUAUUAGGUGGCGACUCCUUGAACUAAUACCUUUCCCCUUAAAGAACAAGAUGUCGUAUAUCUGUUCCUUUUCCAAUCAAUAAUAUUUUUAAUCGGCCGUUACGAUGUUUGAGUGUGACAACAGAAAUUAAAAAAAAAGUAAUGAAAACCAUCAGAGAAAAAAAUAGGAGCAGGGCCCUAGACAUCACUAAAUAUUAAAUCAAGUGGAGCAGUAGUUUUGUGACCCGUAGGUCUUAAUGACAGAUGUAACGGUGUACCUAGCGGACAAGCUUCACAUUGAAAAAGUGAACAUUUAGAGGUAAAAACAAGAUUAUUAUUGGAAACUAAAAAAAUUAAAAACACAUGAAGUAAGAUAUUCUAAUUGACGAUGCCAAAUAUCAAUAAAAGUAGAGACGCAAGGAGACCAAUAAGCUUGAGGAAUGGACGUGGCAGAAGACUCGGACAAAACAUAGAGACUAUCAUUACUCUAACUAAAAAGGAGCAUUGCUUUAGUGGUGAGAUCCUUAACAUAAAACACAACCACGUGAAAUUCACAAUAGAUAUUAUUAUCACGAUAAAAUUUUAGAACAGAAAGUAAUGGCUUUGUAAUAUGAGGUAUAUGAAGAGCAUUAGAUAAUGUAAAAAUGCGUUGUGGAGUAUGUAACGUAGUAUGCCUAAUAUUAGAUAUGGAAAGGCCUUUACUAUCACCAACAUGCAAAUGAUUAUUACCAAGAUAGGGUUCAGACCUGGUUAGAGUCGCAAGAUUAGGUUUAAUGUAUUAAGGCUUUGAUACCAAGUUAAGAAGAAUAAGAUGCUUAAUUUAUUAGUUAACCAACCUUUUCUAUUUAUAUAUAUAGGGCAGUGUACAUUAGUUAAUGUAGAUAUUACAACACAAGAUUAAGCUUAUUAAUAUUUCCUAAAUAUAUACAUCCUAUAUCUUGUAAUUUCCUAAAAUAAGGAUAAUGAGUGUUCUUUUAGAUAAAAAAAAUGAUGUGAUAUGAAAAUAAUGUUAAAAUUGAAAAAUAUGAGAUGAAUUAUCUACUUUUUAUUUUUUUUUAUUAAUAAAAGCAUAAAUACAAUUCAACAACAUUGGACGUGGCUUACUAAGAUGCAUGCAUGCAUGCCUAAUGAGAUCAUAAUUUAGAGAAAUUAAAAAGUGGGACAUGAAUAUAUUAUCUUCAAAUAUUUUAUUCUGGCUACUCUUUUAAACAUUCCAAUGAUUAUGACUUGCAAGUUUUAUAUAUUUAGAGGUCUAAUUGGGUUUGUGACUAGGGCUUUGACUUGCCUAGCUCAUGCAAGGAGAAAGUUGGCGUGCAUUUCCUUGUAAUCAAACAAAUAAGAGAAUCUAAUUCAAGCAGAAAGCAAGAUGAACUCAUAAAGACAUAACAAAUAUAUAAUUCUCUUUGGAAUUGUAAUUACUACCAUUACAAUUACAUUACAUUGUAACAAGAUGAAACAAAAACAAUGAUUUUACCAUGGACCUUCACUCUAUCAAGAUCCUUAUUGUACAAAAAAAAAAAUUACAUUCAUUCAAGAUCCUUGUCUUCAUUUUGAAAAUUUGUUUGUAAAUGAUAUAGAGAAAAGUACGUUAUUGUUGCGUGUAUAUGUAUCUCAAGUUGAUUCAAUUGAAGCUUAAUAGUAUGGAGGAGGUGGGGAAUGAGUUGGAGGUGGUGGAGACUUAUAAUAGUAGGGAGGGGGAGGUGAGGGAGAUGGUGGAGGUGGAGACUUGUAGAUGUAUAGAGGAGGGGGAGACUUCUUUGGAGG